ACAAAAUGUAAUUUAUCCCAAAAUAUCUCGCUUACACCGAGAAUAAACUUGCUACACCAAGUCAUUUUGA
This 70-nucleotide transfer RNA is filed under the name Vietnamophryne inexpectata. Its description in RNAcentral is "tRNA-Val". Lineage: Eukaryota; Metazoa; Chordata; Amphibia; Anura; Microhylidae. The record is from RNAcentral.